AUUGAACGCUGGCGGCAGGCCUAACACAUGCAAGUCGAGCGGAUGAAGGGAGCUUGCUCCUGGAUUCAGCGGCGGACGGGUGAGUAAUGCCUAGGAAUCUGCCUGGUAGUGGGGGAUAACGUCCGGAAACGGGCGCUAAUACCGCAUACGUUCUGAGGGAGAAAGUGGGGGAUCUUCGGACCUCACGCUAUCAGCUGAGCCUAGGUCGGAUUAGCUAGUUGGUGGGGUAAAGGCCUACCAAGGCGACGAUCCGUAACUGGUCUGAGAGGAUGAUCAGUCACACUGGAACUGAGACACGGUCCAGACUCCUACGGGAGGCAGCAGUGGGGAAUAUUGGACAAUGGGCGAAAGCCUGAUCCAGCCAUGCCGCGUGUGUGAAGAAGGUCUUCGGAUUGUAAAGCACUUUAAGUUGGGAGGAAGGGCAGUAAGUUAAUACCUUGCUGUUUUGACGUUACCAACAGAAUAAGCACCGGCUAACUUCGUG
Molecule: ribosomal RNA, 484 nt
Filed under: uncultured bacterium
Lineage: Bacteria
Description: partial 16S ribosomal RNA
Rfam family: Bacterial small subunit ribosomal RNA
Source: RNAcentral